Long non-coding RNA from Tetranychus urticae (two-spotted spider mite), 960 nucleotides. RefSeq lists it as uncharacterized. The record is from RefSeq and is a predicted model, not a curated record. NCBI's taxonomy places the organism in Eukaryota, Metazoa, Arthropoda, Arachnida, Trombidiformes, Tetranychidae.
CAUCUUUUUUUGAAUCUUCCUGAAUCCAAUAUUAUAAUACAAUACAAUAAUAAAUUGAUAUAAACUUUUCUUAUGUUUCGUAGUUCCAACAAUAUUUGAAUACUCAUUAGGCUCUGUGGAAUAAUCAAACAUACAAGUUGUCACCAUUUCUUUGUGUUCAAAGUAAAUAAAGCAACCAUAAUAUAAAAAACAACCAGUAAAGUCCUUUCAACAAAUCAAUCUAAUGUACCUUGACGGUCACUUACACAAUAUGGAGCCUGGAAGCUAUCCAAAGUCUAUCCUAAAACUGAAUAUAUCAAGUAUUUUCCAUUCGGAUACUCGUAACUCUUUAAUGAGGUGAAAUAGGGAUAAAGCUUGGAGUAUGUUUUGGUGGAUUCAGGAUCUUUUAGGUAAUUGUUAACAGUUUGUGAAAUAAUUUUAUUAUUGGAUUUUCCUUAUUUACAAGCAGCUGCUAAAUUGGUUUAAAAUUGCCAUCUUUUCAACACCAAAUAUUUAUUGUGCGAUUAAAUAAACUUUGAAUGAUUCCUGUUGAUAAAUAUUUUACAUUUUGCUCUAACGUCCAUACUAUUAUCAAUAUAAGUGCAUGUAUGAAUUGUUAAUUUUUAAUGCAGUUUGAAAUGCUUGACAGCAAGUGUUGGCAAGUUAAUUUUGUAUUACAAUCAGUCCAGCUUUUGGCUGUUGAUGUUCAAGCAUACUAUAGUAAAGUUGGGCAACUAAAAUCAAUUCACUGGUCAACUUGGCCAAUCCUAAUAACCUUGAUUUACAUGAUAUGAAAGCCUAAAAUUAGACCUUUGUGCUUAACCAACAGCAACAGACUCCAAUGGUUCAUUUUAAUUGUUUUCAAACAUAACCAAGGACAAAAGCCAAUGAUAUUGAUGAUAAUGUUAACAAAGUGAUGAUGAUAUAUGAUCCCAUAUAAUCACUAGCCUCAAGUCAUUAAUUAAAGGUUGACUGUAUUUA